RNAcentral lists this ribosomal RNA (492 nucleotides) under uncultured bacterium. RNAcentral's name for it is "partial 16S ribosomal RNA". It matches the Rfam family "Bacterial small subunit ribosomal RNA", at positions 29 to 507 of the family's 1533-position model. The record is from RNAcentral.
AGUGAACGCUGGCGGUAGGCCUAACACAUGCAAGUCGAACGGCAGCACAGUAAGAGCUUGCUCUUACGGGUGGCGAGUGGCGGAUGGGUGAGGAAUACAUCGGAAUCUACUUUUUCGUGGGGGAUAACGUAGGGAAACUUACGCUAAUACCGCAUACGACCUACGGGUGAAAGCAUGGGAUCUUCGGAUCUUGCGCGAUUGAAUGAGCCGAUGUCGGAUUAGCUAGUUGGCGGGGUAAAGGCCCACCAAGGCGACGAUCCGUAGCUGGUCUGAGAGGAUGAUCAGCCACACUGGAACUGAGACACGGUCCAGACUCCUACGGGAGGCAGCAGUGGGGAAUAUUGGACAAUGGGCGAAAGCCUGAUCCAGCCAUGCCGCGUGGGUGAAGAAGGCCUUCGGGUUGUAAAGCCCUUUUGUUGGGGAAGAAAAGCAGCAGGUUAAUACCCCGCUGUUCUGACGGUACCCAAAGAAUAAGCACCGGCUAACUUCGUG